CGUUAACCAGGAUGUUCUCGAUCUCCUGACCUCGUGAUCCGCCCACCUCGGCCUCCCAAAGUGCUGGGAUUAUAGGUGUGAGCCACCGCGCCCGGCCUGAGACCAGCUCCCCUCCCAGCUAGGUGACUGAGGAUGACCUGGCACAGUCGUGCUGACUGAAGGCUUGGAGAGGCCAGGUGGCCACCUGAGUGGGGCGUCUCCCCAGGACUUCCUGAACCGUGGCCUCCAGCUCCUCUGUGGACACAGCCAUCUUGGCGUGCACCGUGCCACCUGCCCCGGUCCCCCAGAGGCUGCAUCAGGAUCCUGGGCUCAGCUCAGCGGGGACCACAUCCAGGCUUCCCACAGCCCAGCCACUGCCCGCUCCUGGCCCAGCGCCAGCUUCCCCACCCCCUCCCACUCCACUUCUCCCUCGGCCCCAGGCCCAGCUUCUCUCCUUGCCCAGCCCUGUGGUCCUUACCCUGACAACCUUCUCCCCAGCCACUGUCAUCUCCCCUCUCUCUCCCCCUGGCAGCCCAGCCCCCAGGCCCCCACCUACCUCCUAGAAGCCUCCAAUUCCCCCAACCAGGCAGGUCCUGGGGAGCACAGGCUGCUUCCUGCUUCCGGCUCCACACCACCUGAGGCCUUGGCAACCAGCCCCGCCCUCCCCAGGGCCAGCAGAGGCCGCCCAGCCCAGGGGAGAGGGCCCAGGCCCAGCAGGUGCGCUCCCUGGCUCCCCACUGCUGGAGGCCCAGGGAGGAAGACGCCGGCCUGUGGCUUCUUCACUCCUGAGACUUCUUACCUUUCCUCAGUAUCCCAGAUAUGCAGCUGGGAACACCUGUGUGCUUGGCCACUGCUGACUUCGUGAAUGAAAGAGAGAGAGAUGGGAGAGAAGGUGGGUGGGAGGGAGGGGGAAGGGGGAGAAAACCUACCUGCAUCCCACGACCCUUGAGCAGCUAGGACAGGUGUGCCUGCAUCAUAGAGUUGUCCUUGGAAUCCUCAACGAUUGGUUCCAGCACCUCCGUGGGUACCAAAAUCCACAGAUGCUAUAAACUCCCUGAUAUAAAAUGAGGCAGUAUUUGCAUAUAACCUGUGCAUAUACUCUAUACUUUAAAUCAUCUCUGGAUUACUUAUAAUACUUAAUAUAUUUGGCCUGGCCUGGUGGCUCACACCUGUAAUCCCACCACUUUGGAAGGCCAAGUUGGGCAGAUCACUUACUUAGAUCAGGAGCUUGAGACCGUCCUGGCCAACAUGGCGAAACCCCACCUCUACUAAAAAUACAAAAAUUGGGCCGGGCGCAGUGGCUCACGCCUGUAAUCCCAGCACUUUGGGAGGCAGAGGCGGGUCAGCUGAGGCCAGAAGUUUGAGACCAGCCUGACUGACCAACGUGGAGAAACCAUGUCUCUACUAAAAAUACAAAAUUAGCCAGGCGUGGUGGCACAUUCCUGUAAUCCCAGCUACUAGGGAGGCUGAGGCAGGAGAAUCACUUGAACCCGGGAGGCAGAGGUUGUGGUGAGCCGAGAUCACGCCAUUGCACUCCAGCCUGGGCAACAAGAGCAAAACUCCAUCUCAAAAAAAAAAAAAGAUAAAAAUACAAAAAUUGGUCGGGUGUGGUGGCUCAUGCCUGUAAUCCCAGCACUUUGGGAGGCCGAGGCAGGCGGAUCACAAGGUCAGGAGAUCAAGACCAUCCUGGGUAACACGGUAAAACCCCAUCUCUACUAAAAAUACAAAAAAUUAGCCGGCCAUGGUGGCACGCGCCUAUAGUCCCAACUACUCAGGAGGCUGAGGCAGGAGAAUUGCUUGAACCCUGGAGGCAGAGAUUGCAGUGAGCCGAGAUCUCGCCACUGCACUCCAGCCUGGGUGACAGAGCAAGACUCCAUCUCAAAAAAUAAUAAUAAUACAAAAAUUACCCCGCUGUGGUGGCGGGCACCUGUAAUCCCAGCUACUUGGGAGGCUGAGGCAGGAGAAUCGCUUGAACCCAGGAGGCGGAGCCUGUAGUGAGCCAAGAUCAUGUCACCGCACACCCGCCUGGGUGACAGAGCAAGACUAUCUCAAAAAAAAUAAAUUGGCUGGGUGCGGUGGCAUACUCCUGUAAUCCCAGCUAAUCGGGAGGCCAAGGCAGGAGAAUCGCUUGAACCCAGGAGGCAGAGGCUGCAGUGAGCCAAGAUGGCACCACUGCACUCUAGCGUGGGUGACAGAGCAAGACUCCAUCUCAAGAAAAAAUUGUAUACAUAUAUUUAUUUAAUAUAAUGUAUGCUAGGUAAAUAAUUGUUACAUUGUAUAGGGAACAGUAAGCAAAAAAGUCUGUACAUGUCCAAUAGAGAUGUGAUUUGUUUCCAAAUAUUUUCUGUCUGUGGUUGGCUGAAGCCACAGAUGUGGAACCUGUGGAUACGGAAGGCCAGCUGUACUAGGACUCUUCACUGUCCUUAUUUUCUCUAUUUUACUACUUGAAAAUAUCAGCUAAUGUGGGGCUCU
RNAcentral lists this long non-coding RNA (2451 nucleotides) under Homo sapiens (human). RNAcentral's name for it is "HSALNT0384307". The record is from RNAcentral. Lineage: Eukaryota; Metazoa; Chordata; Mammalia; Primates; Hominidae.